UCUUCCGUAGUAUAGUGGUCAGUAUGUGAGCUUGUCAAUCCAAGAUAACGCUCGAGACCCGGGUUCAAUUCCCGGCGGGAGAG
Cercophora sp. LCS_1 is the source of this 83-nucleotide non-coding RNA. The record is from the annotation of a GenBank genome assembly. Lineage: Eukaryota; Fungi; Ascomycota; Sordariomycetes; Sordariales; Lasiosphaeriaceae.